UACAGAGGUCUCAAGCGUUGUUCGGAUUCAUUGGGCGUAAGGAGCGUGUAGGCGGCCAGGUAGGUCUGCUGUGAAAACUCGAGGCUCAACCUCGAGACGUCGGCGGAAACCAUCUGGCUAGAGUCCGGAAGAGGAGAGUGGAAUUCCUGGUGUAGCGGUGAAAUGCGCAGAUAUCAGGAGGAACACCGAUGGCGAAGGCAGGUCUCUGGGCCACUACUGACGCUGAGAAGCGAAAGCGUGGGGAGCGAACAGG
RNAcentral lists this ribosomal RNA (253 nucleotides) under uncultured bacterium. RNAcentral describes it as "partial 16S ribosomal RNA". It matches the Rfam family "Bacterial small subunit ribosomal RNA", at positions 524 to 776 of the family's 1533-position model. The record is from RNAcentral.